Molecule: long non-coding RNA, 800 nt
Filed under: Linum usitatissimum (flax)
Lineage: Eukaryota; Viridiplantae; Streptophyta; Magnoliopsida; Malpighiales; Linaceae
Description: long non-coding RNA (LUSI_LNC002531)
Source: RNAcentral
UUCCAUGUUUUUAGAUAAGUGUUGUAGCAAUGGGUUGAUUUUAGUUACAAGUGAAAAUGACCAAACUGUCCUUACUUUAUCUUGUCUUCAUCUUCUUCCUCAAUAUAAAAACGCAAACACCACCAUCUCUUCCAAACGUCAAUCGCCAUGGACGACGACCUUCAAGCAAUGAUUAUUUUCUCCACCUCCUAAAUCAGAAAAUCCUAAAUCUCAUAACCCAAAUUGGAAAACCCUAAAAAUCAGAUGAAAGUGGAUAACAACAAAGAUGAGAAUCAGCGGUAUUUGAUAAAAGACUAACGCUCUCUGUAACUAACUCAGAUCGGUUUCCUUCUCCCCCUGCCAUGGCUUCCACCAAUCAACAGUAUCGAUUCUCCUUUGAAACUUUUGAGAGGAAGAGAGGUUUAUAAUUCGAUUGGGGUUUCUUCGGACAAGAUGCCACCAUGAACCCUUUCGAUCUCCUCGACGGUGUCGACAACCAGGAUAUCGUUGCGCUCCUCUCCGCUGCUCAGCUGAAGAUUGAGAAGGAAAAGGAAAAGCCAAAGGCCACCGCCAAUGUUCCUCCUCCUCUCAACAAGCUGGCCCAACAAAAGGCCGAUACGGAAAAGAAACCAGCUCGUCAGCUUCUUUAUUCAUAUUAAUUAGCCUCAGCAGUUUCUUUGAUGUUCUAUUUUGUUUUGUUAUCGUACUUGGUUUUUGCUCUUUAUGGAUCAAGGCGGUGAGCUUUUUAUCUUGUAUUUUGUCUCAUUUAUGUGUUCUUGAUUUUCUCUUAUUAUAAUUUGUAUUAAAAUAUAAAAAUAUAA